This 433-nucleotide ribosomal RNA is filed under the name uncultured bacterium. Its description in RNAcentral is "partial 16S ribosomal RNA". It matches the Rfam family "Bacterial small subunit ribosomal RNA", at positions 29 to 507 of the family's 1533-position model. The record is from RNAcentral.
AACGAACGCUGGCGGCAUGCCUAACACAUGCAAGUCGAACGAGACCUUCGGGUCUAGUGGCGCACGGGUGCGUAACGCGUGGGAACCUGCCCUUAGGUUCGGAAUAACUCCCCGAAAGGGGUGCUAAUACCGGAUAAUGUCUUCGGACCAAAGAUUUAUCGCCUUUGGAUGGGCCCGCGUUGGAUUAGCUAGUUGGUAGGGUAAAAGCCUACCAAGGCGACGAUCCAUAGCUGGUCUGAGAGGAUGAUCAGCCACACUGGGACUGGGACACAGCCCAGACUCCUACGGGAGGCAGCAGUGGGGAAUAUUGGACAAUGGGCGAAAGCCUGAUCCAGCAAUGCCGCGUGAGUGAUGAAGGCCUUAGGGUUGUAAAGCUCUUUUACCCGGGAUGAUAAUGACAGUACCGGGAGAAUAAGCUCCGGCUAACUCCGUG